AUUGAACGCUGGCGGCAGGCUUAACACAUGCAAGUCGAGCGGAGAGAGGUAGCUUGCUACUGAUCUUAGCGGCGGACGGGUGAGUAAUGCUUAGGAAUCUGCCUAUUAGUAGGGGACAACAUUUCGAAAGGAAUGCUAAUACCGCAUACGUCCUACGGGAGAAAGCAGGGGAUCUUCGGACCUUGCGCUAAUAGAUGAGCCUAAGUCGGAUUAGCUAGUUGGUGGGGUAAAGGCCUACCAAGGCGACGAUCUGUAGCGGGUCUGAGAGGAUGAUCCGCCACACUGGGACUGAGACACGGCCCAGACUCCUACGGGAGGCAGCAGUGGGGAAUAUUGGACAAUGGGCGGAAGCCUGAUCCAGCCAUGCCGCGUGUGUGAAGAAGGCCUUAUGGUUGUAAAGCACUUUAAGCGAGGAGGAGGCUACUUUAGUUAAUACCUAGAGAUAGUGGACGUUACUCACAGAAUAAGCACCGGCUAACUCUGUGCCAGCAGCCGCCGUAA
Molecule: ribosomal RNA, 501 nt
Filed under: uncultured bacterium
Lineage: Bacteria
Description: partial 16S ribosomal RNA
Rfam family: Bacterial small subunit ribosomal RNA
Source: RNAcentral